This is an RNA transcript of Orcinus orca (killer whale), 6738 nucleotides long. It is a transcript of the gene named YEATS domain containing 4, with no coding region annotated. NCBI's taxonomy places the organism in Eukaryota, Metazoa, Chordata, Mammalia, Artiodactyla, Delphinidae. The transcript has 14 exons. The record is from RefSeq and is a predicted model, not a curated record.
UCGCGCCUGCGCACAAAACGUCGCCGUUGCCACCUUUCCCGGCCCGCUCUCCAACCGCGCGGGGGUGAGUGGGCUUCCACGACGCCCUCCCCUGUGAGGCGUUGGCGAUCCCUCAGCACCCCGAGCUCAGCUGACUCGUCCUCCUUCGGCCGGAAACCCUCCUCCUGGGCCCGCGCGGGAGGAGCGGGGCCUCUGAGCGGAGCGGCGAGUCCGCCGGCCCCGGUCUCUUUCCCUGGCGGCGGCGGCUUCUUCCGUAGGACAAUAUGUUCAAGAGAAUGGCCGAAUUUGGGCCUGACUCCGGCGGGAGAGUGAAGGGGGUUACAAUCGUUAAACCAAUAGUUUAUGGUAAUGUUGCUCGAUAUUUUGGAAAGAAAAGAGAAGAGGAUGGGCACACCCAUCAGUGGACAGUCUAUGUAAAACCAUAUAGAAAUGAGGAUAUGUCAGCAUAUGUGAAGAAAAUCCAAUUUAAAUUACAUGAAAGCUAUGGCAAUCCUUUAAGAGUUGUUACUAAGCCUCCAUAUGAAAUUACUGAAACAGGUUGGGGUGAAUUCGAAAUAAUCAUCAAAAUAUUUUUCAUUGAUCCUAAUGAAAGACCUGUAACCCUGUAUCACUUAUUAAAGCUAUUUCAAUCAGACACUAAUGCAAUGCUGGGAAAAAAGACAGUGGUUUCAGAGUUCUAUGAUGAAAUGAUAUUUCAAGACCCAACAGCAAUGAUGCAACAAUUAUUAACAACAUCUCGUCAGCUUACCUUAGGAGCCUAUAAGCAUGAAACAGAAUUUGCAGAACUUGAAGUGAAAACCAGAGAAAAAUUAGAAGCUGCAAAAAAAAAAACAAGCUUUGAAAUUGCAGAGCUUAAAGAGAGAUUAAAAGCAAGUCGUGAAACUAUAAAUUGUUUAAAAAAUGAAAUCAGGAAACUCGAAGAAGAUGAUCAGACAAAAGAAAUAUAAACAGUUCUGAAGAGAACUCGAUAAACAUUGCCUCCGAUGAACCAGAUCAAUAUGAAGUGACAGUUCAGAGAAAUGAAAUGUGACCUGUGAAUGACGUGAGAAGCUGAUGGGCCAGGACUUCUUCUGGAAUUUUAUUGGAGGGACUUAUGGGAAUGAAGAUCCAGCAAGUUUCCAGCAGUAAUGGUCCCUGCUCACACAAGCUCCUUCAGCCACUGCUGUGUGUCCCUGUUCAAGUAACACUGUGUUGACCUGUGUUCCAAAGAUCAGGGUCUGUGGUACACCCUCUCCAGGGAUGAGGAGAAGAUUGGUUUUGGGAAAUGACCAUUAAGAAGUAGAUGCCCAGAUGCCAAAGUAAUGAAACAGUCAAUUUGUCAUAAAGUAAGAUGCAGCUGUGGCUUUUCAACCAGAUUAGGACAAAAUUGUAUCUAUUUUUCUCAGAAGAGAAUUCCACAAGGACAGGUUUUCUUCAGUCCUUAAGGAUUCAGCUCCUUACAUGGGCUUUGGCAGAGGUCAUGAGGCAGCAUCUGACCAUUCCUUCAAGACUGGGAGAAGUGGUUAUUUCAUCUGCUGUAUAGAAACCAACACAGAGAGUCAAGCAAAAUGAAGAAACAGAGGAAUUUGUUCUAAAUGGGAAAUAAGAUAAAACCUCAGGAAAAAACCUUAAUGAAAUGAAGAUAAGUAAUUUACCUGAUAAAUUAUUCAAAGUAAUGAUUAUAAAGAUGCUUACUGACCUGGGGAGAAGAAUGGAUGAACACAGAAUGUUAAAGAGAUGGAAAAUAUAAGAAAGUACCAAAUAGAAGUCACAGAGCUGAAGAAUACAAUAAUCAAACUGAAAAAUACACUAGAGGGAUUCAACAGCAGACUAGAUGAAGUAAAAGAAAGGAUCAACUAACUCAAAAACAAGGCAAUAGAACUCACCCAGUCAGAGCAGCAAAAAGAAAAAAAGAAUGAAAAAAUGAGGAUGACUUAAGGGAUUGAUGAGACAACAUCAAAUGGACUAAUAUUCACAUCACAGGGCUCACAGAAGGAGAAGAGAGAGAAAGGGGCAGAAGUCUUAAGAAACAAUGGCUGUAAACGUCCCUAACCUGGAGAGGGAAACAGACAUCCAGAUCUAAGAUGCUCAAAGAAUUAUUAAAAAAAAAAAAAAAGAUCCUAAGGAGACAGACCCUAAGACACAUUAUAAUUAAGAUGUCAAAAAGUUAAAGAGAGGGAAUUCCCUGGCAGUCCAGUGGUUAGGACUCCACACUUCCACUGCAGGGGGAAUGGCGUUUGAUCCCUGUUCGGGAUACUAAGAUCCCCUAUGCUGCAAGCCGUGACCAAAAAAAAAAAAAAAAAAAGAGGGACUCUUAAAAACAGGAGGAGAAAAACAACUUGUAUGCAGGGAAACCCUAAUAAGACUACCAACAGAUUUUUCAGCAUAAACUUUGCAGGACAGAAGGGAGUGGCAUAUAUUCAAAGUGCUGAAAGAAAAAAAAAUAUGCCAACCAAGAAUAUUCUACCCAGUUAUCAUUCAGAACUAAAGGAGAGAUAGAGAGUUUUCCAGAUAAGCAAAAGCUAAAGGAGUUCAUCACCAUUAAACCAGACUUACAAGAAAUGUUAAAGGACUUCUUUAAGCUGAAAAGGGGCACCAAUUAGUAGCAAAAAAAGAAAGAAUGAAAGAAAGGUAAACAUAUAGUAGAGGUAAUAGAUUAAUCAUUCACAAAGGUAGUGGAAAGUUUAAAAAACAAAAGUAAUAAUAACUGAUUACAAUAAUUAAGGGAUAUAUAAGAUAAAAAGAUGUUAAAUGUUGGGACUUCCCUGGUGAUGCAGUGGUUGAGAGUCCACCUGCCGAUGCAGGGGACACGGGUUCGUGCCCCGGUCCGGGAGGAUCCCACAUGCCAUGGAGUGGCUGGGCCCAUGAGCCAUGGCUGCUGAGCCUGCGCGUCCGGAGCCUGUGCUCCGCAACGGGAGAGGCCACAACAGUGAGAGGCCCACAUACUGCAAAAAAAAAAAAAAAAAGAUGUUAAAUGUGACAUCAAAAGCAUAAAAUGGGGUGGGGGUAAUAAUACUGAGCUUUACAAUGGGAUCAAAUUUAACCAUCUUAAAGUUGAUUGUUAUAGAUAUAAGUUGUUAUAUGUAAGCCUCAUGUUAACCACAAACCAAAAAUCUAUGGUAAAUAUUCAAGAAAAAGAGAAAUAAGUAUACCACUAAAGAAAGUCACCCAACCACAAAGGAACAGAGCAAUAGAAGAAAGGAAUAGAGAGGAACAACAAAAACAGCUGGAAAACAAUUAACAAAAUGGCAUUAAAUCAUACAUUUAUCAAGAAUUACUUUAAAUGUAAAUGGACUAAAUUCUCCAAUCAAAAGACACACAGUGGCUGGAACAAGACCCCUCUCUCUAUAAGCUGCCUACAAGAGAUUCAGUUUAGGUGUAAGAACGUACACAGGCUGAAAGUGAAAGGAUGGAAAAAGACAUUCCAUGCAAAUGGAAACCAAAAGAAAGCUGUAGUAGCUCUACUUACAUCAGACAAAUAGACUUUAAAACAGAAGACUAGUAAGAGACAAAAAGGGAAAAGGACGUUACAUAAUCAUAAAGGGGUCAAUCCAACAAGAAUAGUAACAUUUGUAAAUAUUUAUGCACCCAACAUAGAAGCACCUAAAUAUAUAAAGCUAAUAUUAACAAACCUAAAGGGAGAAAUAGACAGCAAUACAAUGAUAGAUGGAACUUUUAAUAUCCCACUGAAACCAAUGGAUACAUCAUCCAAACAGAAAAUCAGUAAGGAAACAUCAUCCUUAAAAUACAUAUUAGACCAGAUGAACUUAAAUAUUAUUUAUAGAACACUCUAUCCAGAAGCUAUAAAGUACACAUUCUUCUCAAAUGCAUAUGGAAUAUUUUUUCAAGAUAGAUCAUAUGUUAGGUCACAAACUAGUCUUAAUAAAUUUAAGAGGAUUGAAAUACUAAGCAUCUUUUCUGACCCCAGUGGUAUGAAACUGGAAAUUAAUUAUACUAAGAAAACUGGAAAUAUCACAAAUAUGUGGGGAUUAAGCAACAUGCUACUGAACAACCAAUGGGUGAAAGAAGAAAUCAAAAGAAAAGUCAAAAAUACUUUGAGACAAAUGAAAAUGGAACAUACCAACAUUUAUGGGAUGUAGCAAAAGCAGUUCUAAGAGGGAAGUUUGUAGUGAUAAAUGCCUACUUCAAGAAGUGAGAAAAGUCUCAAACAACCUAACUUUACACCUCAAGGAACUAGGAAAAGGAGAACAAAUGAAGCCUAAAGUUAAAAGGGAGGAAAUAACAAAGGUUAGAGCAGAGAUAAAUUAGAGACUAAAAAGACAAUAGAAAAGUUCCAUGAAACCAAGAGCUCGUUCUUUGAAAAGAUAAAAUUCACAAACCUGUAGUUAGACUCACCAAGAAAAAAAAGAGAGGACUCAAAAAAAUAAAAUCAGAAAUGAAAGAGGAGAUGUUACAACUGAUAACUACAGUAAUACAAAGGAUCAUAAGAGACUACUUUGAAUAAUUGUCACUAACAAACUGGACAACUUAAAAGAAAUGGAUAAAUCCUUAGAAACAUACAGUUUGCCAAGACUGAAUCAUGAUGACAUAGAAAAUCUGAACAGACUGAUUACAAGUAAGGAGAUUAAAUCAGUAAUCAAAAACUUCCCAACAGACAGAAGUUUAGGACCAGACAGCUUCACUAGUGAAUUCUACCAAACAGUCAAAGAAGAAUUAAUACUAAUUCCUCUCAAACUCUUCCAUACUUAUUUUAUGAGGCUAACAUUAGCCUGAUACCAAAACCAGACAAGGAUGCCUCAAGAAAAGAAAAUUACAGGCUAGUAUUUCUGAUGAAAAUAGAUGUAAAAAUCCUGAACAAAAUAUUAGCAAAACAAAUUCAACAACAUACAGACCAUGAUCAAGUGAGAUUUAUUUCAGGGAUUCAAGGAUGGCUCAACAUCUGCAAAUCAGUCAGUGUGAUACGUCACAUUAACAAAAUGAAGGAUAAAAAUCAUAUGAUCGGGGCUUCCCUGGUGGCGCAGUGGUUGAGAGUCCGCCUGCUGAUGCAGGGGACAUGGGUUCGUGCCCCAGUCUGGGAAGAUCCCACAUGCCGCGGAGUGGCUGGGCCUAUGAGCCAUGGCCACUGGGCCUGUGCGUCCGGAGCCUGUGCUCUGCAACAGGAGAGGCCACAACAGUGAGAGGCCCGCGUACCGCAAAAAAAAAAAAAAAAAAAUCAUAUGAUCAUCUCAAUAGAUGCAGGAAAAGCAUUUGACAAUUAUGAAAAGCAAAUGAAAAGCAUUUAACAUCCAUUUAGGAUAAAACCUAUCAAAGGGGCUUCCCUGGUGGCGCAGUGGUUGGGAGUCCACCUGCAGGUGCAGGGGACGCGGGUUCGUGUCCUGGUCUGGGAGGAUCCCACAUGCCGCAGAGCUGCUGGGCCCGUGAGCCAUGGCCGCUGGGCCUGCACUUCCGGUGCCUGUGCUCCGCACCGGGAGAGGCCGUGACAGUGAGAGGCCCGCGUACGGCAAAAAACAAAAACAAAACCAAAAAACAACAGCAAAAAAACCCUACCAAAGCAGGUAUAGUGGGAACAUACCUCAACAUAAUAAAUGCCUUAUAUGACAAGCCCACAGCUAACAUCAUAGUCAACCAUGGAAAGUUGAAAGCUUUUCCUCUGAGAUCAGGAAUGAGAUGAGGAUGUCCAUUCUUACUACUUUUAUUGAAUAUAGUAUUAGAAGUCCUUGCCAGAGCAGUUAUGGAAGAAAAAGAAAUAAAAGCAUCGUAAUUGGAAAGGAAGAAGUAAAACUGUCACUAUUUGCAGAUGACAUGAUAUUAUAUGUAGAAAACCCAUAAGACUCCAUCAGACUGUUAGUAAAAAAACAAAAAUAGAAUUCAGUGAAGUUGCAGAAUAUGGAAUCAAUACACAAAAAUCAUUGUGUUUCUGUACACUAGUAAUGAAAUGUCGAAAAGAGAUAAAACAGUCCUAUUUACAAUUGCAUAAAAAAAUAAAAUACCUAGGAAUAAAUUUAACCAUGGAGAUAAAAUAUCUUUAUACUGAAAAUUACAAGAGAUUAAUAAAAGAAACUGAAGACGACACAAAUAAAUGGGAUAUUUAGUGCUCAUAGAUUGGAAGAAUUAAUAUUGUUAAAAUGUUCAUAUUAUCCAAUAUACAUGUUCAGUUCAAUUCCUAUCAAAAUUCUAAUGGCAUUUUUUCACAGUAAUAGAACAAACAAUUCUAAGAUUUCUGUGGAACCAUAAAAAACCCCAAAUAGCCAAAGCAAUUUUGAGAAAGAAGAACAAAGAGGGAGGCAUCAUGUGCCCUUGUCUAAAACUACAUUAUAAAGCUAUAGUAAUUAAGACAGUGUGAUAUUGGCAUAAAAACAGGCACAUAGAUCAAUGAAUGGAAUGGAAUACAGAGCCCAGAAAUAAACCCACACAUAUAUGGUCAAUUAUUUUACAACAAAGGAGCCAAGAAUAUACAAUGGGAAAAGGACAGUCUCUUUAAUAAAUGGUGUUGGGAAAAUUGGACAGCCACAUGCAAAAGAAGGAAACUGGAUUGCUAUCUUAUGCCAUACUUGAGAAGUAACUAAAAAUGGAUUAAAGACUUGAACAUAAGACCUGGAAGCAUUAAAACUCCUAGAAGAAAACAUAGAUGGGAAUCUCCCCGACAUAGGUCUUGGUGAUGAUUUUUUGAAUCUGACACUGAAAGCAAAAGCAACAAAAACAAAAAUAAAUAAGUGGGAUUACAUCAAACUAAAAACUUAUGCAUAACAAAGGAAGCCAUCAACAAAAAGAAAAGGCAACCUACUGCGUGGGAGAAAA